UACGUAGGGUGCAAGCGUUGUCCGGAAUCAUUGGGCGUAAAGAGCGUGUAGGCGGCCCGGUCAGUCCGCCGUGAAAGUCCAGGGCUCAACCCUGGGAUGCCGGUGGAUACUGUCGGGCUCGAGUCCGGAAGAGGCGAGUGGAAUUCCUGGUGUAGCGGUGAAAUGCGCAGAUAUCAGGAGGAACACCAAUGGCGAAGGCAGCUCGCUGGGACGUGACUGACGCUGAGACGCGAAAGCGUGGGGAGCAAACAGG
RNAcentral lists this ribosomal RNA (253 nucleotides) under uncultured bacterium. RNAcentral describes it as "partial 16S ribosomal RNA". It matches the Rfam family "Bacterial small subunit ribosomal RNA", at positions 524 to 776 of the family's 1533-position model. The record is from RNAcentral.